Molecule: ribosomal RNA, 259 nt
Filed under: Klebsiella pneumoniae
Lineage: Bacteria; Pseudomonadati; Pseudomonadota; Gammaproteobacteria; Enterobacterales; Enterobacteriaceae
Description: partial 23S ribosomal RNA
Rfam family: Bacterial large subunit ribosomal RNA
Source: RNAcentral
GGGUUGUGAGGUUAAGCGACUAAGCGUACACGGUGGAUGCCCUGGCAGUCAGAGGCGAUGAAGGACGUGCUAAUCUGCGAAAAGCGUCGGUAAGGUGAUAUGAACCGUUAUAACCGGCGAUGUCCGAAUGGGGAAACCCAGUGUGAUUCGUCACACUAUCGUUAACUGAAUACAUAGGUUAACGAGGCGAACCGGGGGAACUGAAACAUCUAAGUACCCCGAGGAAAAGAAAUCAACCGAGAUUCCCCCAGUAGCGGCG